RNAcentral lists this long non-coding RNA (199 nucleotides) under Elaeis guineensis (African oil palm). RNAcentral describes it as "long non-coding RNA (EGUI_LNC065086)". Lineage: Eukaryota; Viridiplantae; Streptophyta; Magnoliopsida; Arecales; Arecaceae. The record is from RNAcentral.
AUUGAAAUGAAGGGUCUAACUUAACUAAAAUAUUAUAGCUUGUUGUGUUAACACAAGGCUAAUAAUAUUUUAGAGACCAAGAUAUAAUAUUAAAAAUUGCAUGAGAUGCAAUUGAAAAGAGUUUCCUACCUAUGAACUCAUAAGGGUUUGUUGUGUUAACACAAGAUCAUUAUGAGGAAUUAGGAUCUCAAUCCCACUA